RNAcentral lists this unclassified non-coding RNA (347 nucleotides) under Trichophyton benhamiae. RNAcentral describes it as "contains 16S-23S intergenic spacer region". The record is from RNAcentral. Lineage: Eukaryota; Fungi; Ascomycota; Eurotiomycetes; Onygenales; Arthrodermataceae.
GGGGCCAAAAAAAAAAAAAGGAGGGGAGAGGCAGCCGCUUAGCAGUAAAAAAGAUAAAAUUUCAAGACGGUCACUUAUUCCGGCAUGGAGAAGGACGCGGCAAAAUCGUAGUAAGGAGAGAUGCAGAUUCCAAAGACACGAACUUUGACGCCAUGGCCCUCUGGUAUCCGGGGGGCAGCCUGUUCGAGCGUCAUUUCACCCCUCAAGCCCGGCUUGUGUGAGGAGCCGUCCGACCUCCUCUUUCGGGGGCGGGACGCGCCCGAAAACAGUGGCCAGGCCGCGUUCCGGCUUCCUGGGCGAUGGGCAGUCAAGCAGCGCCCUCGGCCGGCCGCUCGGCCUUCCCCCAA